GGAGAAAUUAUCCUUGCUGUGU
This 22-nucleotide microRNA is filed under the name Equus caballus (horse). RNAcentral describes it as "eca-miR-539". Its record names the gene eca-miR-539. The record is from miRBase by way of RNAcentral. Lineage: Eukaryota; Metazoa; Chordata; Mammalia; Perissodactyla; Equidae.